RNAcentral lists this ribosomal RNA (492 nucleotides) under uncultured bacterium. Its description in RNAcentral is "partial 16S ribosomal RNA". It matches the Rfam family "Bacterial small subunit ribosomal RNA", at positions 29 to 507 of the family's 1533-position model. The record is from RNAcentral.
AGUGAACGCUGGCGGUAGGCCUAACACAUGCAGGUCGAACGGCAGCACAGUAAGAGCUUGCUCUUACGGGUGGCGAGUGGCGGACGGGUGAGGAAUACAUCGGAAUCUACUUUUUCGUGGGGGAUAACGUAGGGAAACUUACGCUAAUACCGCAUACGACCUACGGGUGAAAGCAGGGGAUCUUCGGACCUUGCGCGAUUGAAUGAGCCGAUGUCGGAUUAGCUAGUUGGCGGGGUAAAGGCCCACCAAGGCGACGAUCCGUAGCUGGUCUGAGAGGAUGAUCAGCCACACUGGAACUGAGACACGGUCCAGACUCCUACGGGAGGCAGCAGUGGGGAAUAUUGGACAAUGGGCGCAAGCCUGAUCCAGCCAUACCGCGUGGGUGAAGAAGGCCUUCGGGUUGUAAAGCCCUUUUGUUGGGAAAGAAAAGCAGCAGGUUAAUACCCCGCUGUCCUGGCGGUACCCAAAGAAUAAGCACCGGCUAACUUCGUG